AACGAACGCUGGCGGCAUGCCUAACACAUGCAAGUCGAACGAGACCUUCGGGUCUAGUGGCGCACGGGUGCGUAACGCGUGGGAACCUGCCCUUAGGUUCGGAAUAACUCCCCGAAGGGGGUGCUAAUACCGGUUAAUGUCUUCGGCCCAAAGAUUUAUCGCCUUUGGAUGGGCCCGCGUUGGAUUAGCUAGUUGGUAGGGUAAAAGCCUACCAAGGCGACGAUCCAUAGCUGGUCUGAGAGGAUGAUCAGCCACACUGGGACUGAGACACGGCCCAGACUCCUACGGGAGGCAGCAGUGGGGAAUAUUGGACAAUGGGCGAAAGCCUGAUCCAGCAAUGCCGCGUGAGUGAUGAAGGCCUUAGGGUUGUAAAGCUCUUUUACCCGGGAUGAUAAUGACAGUACCGGGAGAAUAAGCUCCGGCUAACUCCGUG
RNAcentral lists this ribosomal RNA (433 nucleotides) under uncultured bacterium. RNAcentral's name for it is "partial 16S ribosomal RNA". It matches the Rfam family "Bacterial small subunit ribosomal RNA", at positions 29 to 507 of the family's 1533-position model. The record is from RNAcentral.